UCCCUCUCAGGAUCACACCUGGAGAGUUUCCAGUACUCUACCAGUCUUGACUAAGGGAGGGAGAGUCAGGCAGAGGCAUACCCAUUCCACUCCUUGCUUGGGCAGCAGAUAGCAAGUGGAAGGCAGUAUGCUACAAGU
This is a small nucleolar RNA of Ornithorhynchus anatinus (platypus), 138 nucleotides long. NCBI's taxonomy places the organism in Eukaryota, Metazoa, Chordata, Mammalia, Monotremata, Ornithorhynchidae. The record is from RefSeq and is a predicted model, not a curated record.